GGGUUUAUCGUUUAGUGGUAGAGCAUUUGAUUGCAAAUCAAGAGGUCACCUAUUUGGACUCU
Non-coding RNA from Glycine soja, 62 nucleotides. The record is from Rfam. Lineage: Eukaryota; Viridiplantae; Streptophyta; Magnoliopsida; Fabales; Fabaceae.